GAUCUAUUAACUUAGACAUUUUUACUAAUAUUUUAAAUCCGGAAGAUAUUAAUAGAUCUUUAAAAGGUUAAUUAGGAUUCGAAACUCGGAUAACUCUCUUCCUUCAUGCGAUUUUUGGCAUCUUUCUCUCGUCUCGGAGAAAAAGAACAAAAUAAUGUUUUAUGAUCAUAAUUUUCCGAAAUCGAUAUGCGAAACGUGUAAUUCUUCUUUACGCUAUGACUUUCGCUAUUUUCAGCACUUAGCGAAGAUUUCAAGAUGGUAGAAAGAUGAUCCUACUAAGAAGGAAAUAUGAAAAAAAAAAGAAAGAAAGAAAGAAAGACGAAAGAGCCGUUCCGAUUUCUAGCUCACCGUUCAAGAUGUUUCCUAUCUCGACAGAGUCAGUCUUUCCUAGAAGCUCGAGUUAUUUUCGUUUGAAAUCCAACUUACAAAACUGUCUUGGGUUUUGCUUCAGACACGCUUUACGCUGUUUUCAUUAUAUAAACAACAGCAUCCCGCACAAUGAGGCAAUUUUUGAUGACACACACAGCUGACUCUGUCGUCGUGUUGAUGUUACUUCCUAAACUCCAACCAAACAAUAAAUGCUCUUCUUUGCUCCCGAGCAGUUAAAGCGAUCGUUAAAUAAUUUCGUAUAACAAAUAUCCAUCGAUACAUGAAUGAAUUUUAAAUCGCCAUUAUAUCACAUCUGUCUGCCGACUUAAGAGG
RNAcentral lists this long non-coding RNA (702 nucleotides) under Androctonus crassicauda. Lineage: Eukaryota; Metazoa; Arthropoda; Arachnida; Scorpiones; Buthidae. The record is from RNAcentral.